RNAcentral lists this ribosomal RNA (459 nucleotides) under uncultured bacterium. RNAcentral's name for it is "partial 16S ribosomal RNA". It matches the Rfam family "Bacterial small subunit ribosomal RNA", at positions 338 to 795 of the family's 1533-position model. The record is from RNAcentral.
CCUACGGGUGACAGCAGUGAGGAAUAUUGGUCAAUGGCCGCAGGGCUGAACCAGCCAAGUCGCGUGAGGGAUGACGGUCCUAUGGAUUGUAAACCUCUUUUGUCAGGGAGCAAAGGGCGCCACGUGUGGCGCUUUGCGAGGACCUGAAGAAAAAGCAUCGGCUAACUCCGUGCCAGCAGCCGCGGUAAUACGGAGGAUGCGAGCGUUAUCCGGAUUUAUUGGGUUUAAAGGGUGCGCAGGCGGAAUGUCAAGUCAGCGGUAAAAUUUCGGGGCUCAACCCCGUCGUGCCGUUGAAACUGGCGUUCUUGAGUGAGCGAGGAGUAUGCUGAAUGCGUGGUGUAGCGGUGAAAUGCAUAGAUAUCACGCAGAACUCCGAUUGCGAAGGCAGCAUACCGGCGCUCAACUGACGCUCAUGCACGAAAGCGUGGGUAUCGAACAGGAUUAGAUACCCGUGUAGUC